Molecule: ribosomal RNA, 773 nt
Filed under: uncultured Solirubrobacterales bacterium
Lineage: Bacteria; Bacillati; Actinomycetota; Thermoleophilia; Solirubrobacterales
Description: bacterial SSU rRNA
Rfam family: Bacterial small subunit ribosomal RNA
Source: RNAcentral
AGAGUUUGAUCAUGGCUCAGAACGAACGCUGGCGGCAGGCUUAACACAUGCAAGUCGAACGCACCUUCGGGUGAGUGGCAGACGGGUGAGUAACGCGUGGGAACGUGCCUUCUGCUUCGGAAUAGCCCUGGGAAACUGGGGGUAAUACCGGAUGUGCCCUACGGGGGAAAGGAAGCUUCGGCCUCCGCAUCGGGAUGGGCCCGCGGCGCAUUAGCUUGUUGGUGGGGUAACGGCCUACCAAGGCGACGAUGCGUAGCUGGUCUGAGAGGACGAUCAGCCACACUGGGACUGAGACACGGCCCAGACUCCUACGGGAGGCAGCAGUGGGGAAUCUUGCGCAAUGCGCGAAAGCGUGACGCAGCAACGCCGCGUGAGGGAAGACGGCCUUCGGGUUGUAAACCUCUUUCAGGAGGGACGAAGCGUGUCUGGUGAAUAGCCAGUUCACGUGACGGUACCUCCACAAGAAGCCCCGGCUAACUACGUGCCAGCAGCCGCGGUAAUACGUAGGGGGCAAGCGUUGUCCGGAAUCAUUGGGCGUAAAGAGCGCGUAGGCGGCCCAGUAAGUCCGCUCUGAAAGUCAGGGGCUUAACCCCUGAAUGCGGGUGGAUACUGCUGGGCUAGAGUCCGGAAGAGGCGAGUGGAAUUCCUGGUGUAGCGGUGAAAUGCGCAGAUAUCAGGAGGAACACCGAUGGCGAAGGCAGCUCGCUGGGACGGUACUGACGCUGAGGCGCGAAAGCGUGGGGAGCAAACAGGAUUAGAUACCCUAGUAGUCC